AGCCUUACGGUAGCAAUACCAUGCAGUCGAACGCCACGACAGGGGAGUGUCCUACGAUGUGAGUACAGCAGUGGGAACUAUCCUUACCUGUCGACUAUCUCCGCGGAACUGGAAUUUAUACCACGUACGCCCUACCGGGGACAUAUUUAUCGGGGAAGGAUUGGCCCGCGUUGCAUUGACCUGUUGGAGGGGUAUAGGCCUACCUAGGCAACUAUCCAUAGUCUGGGCUGAGAGGAUCAACAACCACAUUGGGACUGAGACACGGCCACGACUCCUACGGGACGGAGCACGUGGGCAAUAUUCCAACAUGGGCGCGAGCCUGAUCCAGCCGUGCCGCGUGAGUGAUCAAGGCCCUAGGGUUGCAAAGCUCUUUCGACGGACAACAAAUUACGGUUUCCUGACAUUAAGCCGCGGCUAACUUCAUGCCUGCUCCCGCGGUAUUACGAUGGGGGCUAACGUUGUUCGGACUUACUGUGCGUAAAGCGCACCUACGCGGAUAUUUAAGUCGGGGGUGAAAUCCCAUCAGCUCAACUCUGGAACUGCCUUUGAUACUGGGUAUCUUGAGUAUGGAAGAGGUAAGUGGAAUUCUCGAGUGUAGAGGUGAAAUUGGUAGAUAUUCGGAGGAACACCAGUGGGGAAGGCGGCUCACUGGUCCAUUACUGACGGUGAGGUGGGAAAGCGUGGGGAGCAAACAGGAUUAGAUACCCUGGUAGUCCACGCCGUAAACGAUGAAUAUUAGCCGUCGGGCACUAUAGUGUUCGGUGGCGCAGCUAACGCAUUAAACAUUCCGCGCGGGGAGUACGGUCNGCACAGAGUAAAAAUCAAAAGAAAUGACGGGGGCCCCCACACGCGGGGGAGCACGUGGGUUAAUUUGAAGCAACGCGCAGAACCCUUCCACCUCCCGACACUUGCGGUGAGGGCACCGGAGACAUUGUCCUUCAUUUGGGAUCGCCCCAGCACAGGUGCCGCAUGGCUGUCCUCAGCUCGUGUCGUGAGAUGGGGGGAUAACUCCCACAACGAGCACCCCCCUCCCCUUUAGUCCCCCGCAUUUAGUUGGGCACUCUAAGGGGACUGCCGGUGAUAAGCCGAGAGGAAGGGGGGGAGGACGUCAAGUCCUCAGGCCCCUUACGCGCGGGGUUACACACGUGUUACAAGGGUGGUGACAGGGGGCAGCGAGACAGGGAGUUCGACUAAAUCUCCAAAAGCCAUCUCAGUUCGGAUUGCACUCUGCAACUCGAGUGCAUGAAGUCGGAAUCGCUAGUAAUCGCAGAUCAGCAUGUCGCGGUGAAUACGUUCCCGGGCCUUGUACACACCGCCCGUCACACCCAUGGAGGUGGUUUCCCCGGAGGUAGUGAGCUUAACGCUCGGGAGCAGGUUACCUUAGAGUUGACCCCUCU
Molecule: ribosomal RNA, 1397 nt
Filed under: Rhizobium sp.
Lineage: Bacteria; Pseudomonadati; Pseudomonadota; Alphaproteobacteria; Hyphomicrobiales; Rhizobiaceae
Description: bacterial SSU rRNA
Rfam family: Bacterial small subunit ribosomal RNA
Source: RNAcentral